GAUGAACGCUGGCGGCGUGCCUAAUACAUGCAAGUCGAGCGAACAGACGAGUAGCUUGCUCCUCUGAUGUUAGCGGCGGACGGGUGAGUAACACGUGGAUAACCUACCUAUAAGACUGGGAUAACUUCGGGAAACCGGAGCUAAUACCGGAUAACAUGUUGAACCGCAUGGUUCAACAGUGAAAGACGGUCUUGCUGUCACUUAUAGAUGGAUCCGCGCCGCAUUAGCUAGUUGGUAAGGUAACGGCUUACCAAGGCAACGAUGCGUAGCCGACCUGAGAGGGUGAUCGGCCACACUGGAACUGAGACACGGUCCAGACUCCUACGGGAGGCAGCAGUAGGGAAUCUUCCGCAAUGGGCGAAAGCCUGACGGAGCAACGCCGCGUGAGUGAAGAAGGUCUUCGGAUCGUAAAACUCUGUUAUUAGGGAAGAACAAAUGUGUAAGUAACUAUGCACGUCUUGACGGUACCUAAUCAGAAAGCCACGGCUAACUACGUG
RNAcentral lists this ribosomal RNA (497 nucleotides) under uncultured bacterium. RNAcentral's name for it is "partial 16S ribosomal RNA". It matches the Rfam family "Bacterial small subunit ribosomal RNA", at positions 28 to 507 of the family's 1533-position model. The record is from RNAcentral.